GCCCUGCUAGCUUAGGGGUAGAGCGUUGCACUUGUACUUUCAGGUCAUGCAAAGGUCACUGGUUCAAUUCCAGUGUAGGGCA
Conoideocrella luteorostrata is the source of this 82-nucleotide non-coding RNA. Lineage: Eukaryota; Fungi; Ascomycota; Sordariomycetes; Hypocreales; Clavicipitaceae. The record is from the annotation of a GenBank genome assembly.